Molecule: ribosomal RNA, 521 nt
Filed under: Dicyphus pallicornis
Lineage: Eukaryota; Metazoa; Arthropoda; Insecta; Hemiptera; Miridae
Description: eukaryotic LSU rRNA
Rfam family: Eukaryotic large subunit ribosomal RNA
Source: RNAcentral
CCAAGGAGUUUAGCGUGUACGCGAGUCAUUGGGUGACAAAACUCAAAGGCGGAAUGAAAGUGAAGGAAAGCUUGCUCUCCGAGGGAGGAUGGGGUCGAGUUCUUUCCAAGAACUUCCUCGCACUCCUGGGGCGUCUCCAUCUCAUCAUGAGAGGAGGCGCACCUAGAGCGUACACGCUGAUACCCGAAAGAUGGUGAACUAUGCCUGGCCAGGACGAAGCCAGGGGAAACCCUGGUGGAGGUCCGCAGCGAUUCUGACGUGCAAAUCGAUCGUCGGAGCUGGGUUUAGGGGCGAAAGACCAAUCGAACCAUCUAGUAGCUGGUUCCCUCUGAAGUUUCCCUCAGGAUAGCUUGCGCUCGGAAUUGACGAGUCUCAUCCGGUAGAGCGAAUGAUUAGAGGCCUUGGGGUCGAAACGACCUCAACCUAUUCUCAAACUCCAAAUAGAUGAGAACCCCUGCUUUCUUGAAAUUUAUUUCUAUGAAGCCGGGGGCUCGGAUCAGAGUGCCAAGUGGGCCAAUUUU